AUGGUGACAGUGACUUCAGAGACACCAUCUGCCUCCACGCUGUAUGGCCUGGUCUCCUCCUGUGAGGAGCACAACACCGAUUCUACAAUCUUUGGUUGUUUGGUGAUGGACUAUUCCCCUGACGUCACUAAGGUAACCUGGAAGAAAGGCGUGGAGCUAAUCACGGAUGGAUUGAAGACGUACCCAUCAGUGAGAAACAAGAAGGGAACCUACACCCUGAGCAGCCAGUUAACCCUGCCCGGGUCAGCGGUAGAUUGCCCCAGCAAAAUCUACUGUGAGGUUGAACACAGCGGGUCACACAAGAGCAAAGAAAUGCCAUGUCUAGGUACAGGUCCUCUCCCACCAACUCUUCUCCUAACUGUGAGCUCCAGUGAAGAAAUCGCAAGCAGCAAGUUUGCAACCAUUGUCUGUUCAAUCAUCGAUUUCCAUCCGAAGUCAAUCUCCGUGAGUUGGUUGAAAAAUGGCCGACUCUUGGAUUCUGGCUUCUUCACAUCUCCCGUGUGUGAGGCGAACGGGAACUUCUCGGUGACGAGUCGGCUGAAGGUCCCUUAUGGUGAAUGGUACAACAGCGCAGUCUAUACCUGCCAGGUCACUCAUGAAGACAACAUUCAAAGUAUAAACAUCACUGCACUCCAGGAAGAUACCGAGUGUCACCCUAACACCGUUAAAAUCCUCCUACCGCCAGUAGAACAAGUCUUACUGGAGGCGAUGGUGACGUUAACCUGCGUUGUGUCCAAUCUUCCUUCUGGAGUCAACGUGACCUGGAAACAAGAAAAGAAGCCUCUGAAAUCAGAGAUUGCUGACCAGCCUGGACAGAAUCCCGACAGCGUGAUCAGCAAAUUAGCCAUUUCUACUGAAGCCUGGCUGAGUGGCGUUACUUUUGAAUGUGUGGUGUACCAUCAGAAUCUACCGACUCCGCUGAGAGACUCCAUCCACAAGGAGAACGUGAUUAAUCCGCUGGAGCCAUCAGUGUCGGUCCUCCUGUCACCAACAGAAGAAAUCUCCGCUCAGAGGUUUCUCUCCCUCACCUGUUUAGUGAGAGGUUUCUCCCCCCGAGAGAUCUUCGUCAAGUGGACAAACAAUGACAAGCAGGUGAAUCCCAGUAACUACAAGAACACCGAGCCUGUUAUCCAUUACAGCGGAGGAGUGGGCUAG
Molecule: non-coding RNA, 1155 nt
Organism: Hemiscyllium ocellatum (epaulette shark)
Lineage: Eukaryota; Metazoa; Chordata; Chondrichthyes; Orectolobiformes; Hemiscylliidae
Source: the annotation of a RefSeq genome assembly